UACGUAGGGGGCUAGCGUUGUCCGGAAUCAUUGGGCGUAAAGCGCGUGUAGGCGGUUCGGUAAGUCCGCUGUGAAAGUCGGGGGCUCAACCCUCGAAUGCCGGUGGAUACUGUCGGACUGGAGUACGGAAGAGGCGAGUGGAAUUCCUGGUGUAGCGGUGAAAUGCGCAGAUAUCAGGAGGAACACCAAUUGCGAAGGCAGCUCGCUGGGACGGUACUGACGCUGAGACGCGAAAGCGUGGGGAGCAAACAGG
Molecule: ribosomal RNA, 253 nt
Filed under: uncultured bacterium
Lineage: Bacteria
Description: partial 16S ribosomal RNA
Rfam family: Bacterial small subunit ribosomal RNA
Source: RNAcentral